Molecule: unclassified non-coding RNA, 1551 nt
Filed under: Hevea brasiliensis (rubber tree)
Lineage: Eukaryota; Viridiplantae; Streptophyta; Magnoliopsida; Malpighiales; Euphorbiaceae
Source: RNAcentral
AUGGAAUAAUGGAUUUAAACUAAACUGCACUCCCAGCCGUAACAACAGCCACAAUCAUAUGUAAUGAAAAUGGGUUGUUGCGGAUGUGACAUACUGGUAACAGCCUACUGCUAUGCAAAUUUUUUAGAAAAAUUUACAAAAGUAAAGGAUAUUUAACCUUAACUAACAAAUUCUUAGUCCUUAUUAAAUGAUCUUUUUCUUGAUCUUCAAUAAUUAUUUACCAGAUCCAACGUCUUCAAAUUGAUUACAUAUGUAACAAGCUAGGCACACAUGAUAUGUAUGCUCCAGCCUGAGGGGAAAUGUUGGAAUAAUUGCUAUAAUUGUGCCUUAAGUUGAGAUUGAAUGCUGUUUGUGUGCUGCAUUGGUGGCUGUAAAUAUGCCUGUAAAUGUCCUUUUUUCAGUGUAUAACUAAGCAGUAUAUAUACACCCAAUGGCUUGAAGGAAUAAUCAUGCUAUUUUCUCCAAAUCUCCUCCUCUUCUUCUUCAUCUUUCUUCAUUUUCUUCUUCAAUUUCUCUCUCCUUUCUCUCUUCAUCACUAUCUCUCCCACCAUCCAUUCAAAUCCAAGUUGGAGGUAACUUUCCAAACCCCCAAGAUUGCACUCUCCACAUCCGAAGCAGCCCGCAAAUUCCCUUCUCUCCCUCUUGGCACCAUCCUCAUCAACUUGCCUGAAUUCCUCUUGCUAUUGACCCAAUCCAAUGCCGCCACCAAUGCUCAACUCAAUUGACUUGAGGUGAACUAGUAUGCUGAUGAUUCCUAGAAUACAAUUGAUGAGCACUCAGAAUCAAAACGUCACCCAGCAUCAAUAUUUACAAAGCCAAUGUUGCACGUUUUUGGGUUCUUUAUGUUGAUACUAGCUACUGUGAUAGGGGAGAUGGUGGUCUUGAGUAAAAGAAUCAAUUGAAGGAAUUUAAGAGUUGUGGAGAAGUACAAGGUCAACUAGGAUCAAAUGAAGGCCUUGAAUCACUUUUCUAUGCUGCAAAUUCCUUCAAUCGACCACAUCAGUGUCGGUUUGUAAGGGUUUGGCACCAAAUGUAAAUUAGAAAUAGUUAGAUCUUUUAAUAUUUUUUAAUCUAUUGCCUCUAUUUUUGUGCAUGUUGAUCAUUGUAGGAAUAUUUCUCCCUCAUGUUGGAGUUGUAAAUUGGCAAUAGGUGUCCUGGAAUUCAGGUUGUGUUUGGUGGAAUUGGAGUUGUGAAUAUUUCUCUCUGCCAUGAAUUGAUAAUGAAGAUGCUUUACAUUUUAUUUUUUAGUGGAGAGUAAGAAGGCAAGAGAAAGAGGGGGCCUACCAUGCAAUUUUUAGGUGGUGAAGAGAAAGUAAACAAGAGAAGGAAAGGAAAACAUGGGAAGAGGAGAGAAAACCCGUCCAAUUAAGAAAAACAAUUUUCAAAUGUUACUGAAAUGGAUCCAUGUUAUCUUCUUAGAAAAAUUAUAAACAUUCAGAUAGGACCGUAUUGUUACUCAAACCAAUUUUUAAUGAAUUUUGUGAUAGACUGGCGAAGCACAAAAUAAAGUUAAAUAAAUCUUAAUAUUUCCAUCAAAAUUCAAAUAACAUA